CUCUGGUUCAAGCAGGUCUCACCUCCACAGGCUCCUUUCCCAUCCCAGCAGUGAGCUCUGCUGGUUCCCUGCUCCUCAGACCUGAACACUGCAGAAACUCCACUCCACCCUUGCUUUCUGAUUAACUCAUUCUCCAUUUGGCUCAGCUGGGAAUGUGUUUGAUCUCCUGGAGAUACACUCCAGCCAGCUCCAUGGUCCUCAGUGAUCUCUGCAAACAGCUCACGCAGCUCAGAUGGGAUUUAGCUGAGAAUCCAUAUCCUGAAGCUGGGUUUCUGAAGUUUUCUUCACACCAGGAUACCAGGAUGGUACCUGCAUAACCUAAUUCUUAAGCUGCUGAACUGCAGCUCAGGCCUUCUGGCUCCUCUCUGCCUUCUUCAGAUAAGGAGGGUCACCCAGCCCCAGAUCCCAGUGCUCCCAGACAGGCUGUUCCUGACCAGGCCCUGCAGCAGUUCCUCAGUGCCAGGUACAGCAGCAGGGGAGCAGCUGGUGACAGGGACACAGCACAGGCUGUCUCUGGCUGAUUGAUGCCUCUGGCCACCUUAGCCCUCCACCAUUCCUGGAGGUCCUGCUAAAGCUCAAAGAGGCCCUGCAGGGGCCCAGCUCUCAGCUGGCCCAGGUGGUCAGCACCAGGUGGUGUUAGUUGGUUUGAUUUUAAAUCCCUUCGGAGAUUGUUUACAAAGGCUUUGUGGUCCAUGAGAAGGCCCACACCACUUUUAAGGGUGGUGUGGCCAGAGGCAGUGAAUUCCUCCUUGCUUUGGUUGUAGAACUCUGCCUUACAGUUCCCAUCCAGGGAAGUGAGCCAAAGACAGCUGCCUCUUCCAAAGAAAGGCCUUGUGGAGGCUGCAUCACCCUCUGAUGUUUUGAAAUUUCCAGUGGACCACAUCAGUCACCGAGAAGUGAGAAGUGGCAUCUAAACUCAGCCUUUCACCAAGAAGUAGAACAUCAUCUGUGGCUGGGAUACCAUCUUGUUUCAAAAAUCCCACAUCUGUCAGAAUCCUUUUGGCUCCUAUUAAAACACAUAUUGACUAAAAAUAAUUGCUUGUUUCCUGUUGUUUCAGUUAGUUUGCUCUGGGUACCUGGCAGCAUUUUG
RNAcentral lists this long non-coding RNA (1090 nucleotides) under Manacus vitellinus (golden-collared manakin). Its description in RNAcentral is "lncRNA (ENSMVIG00005014013.1)". The record is from RNAcentral. Lineage: Eukaryota; Metazoa; Chordata; Aves; Passeriformes; Pipridae.